RNAcentral lists this ribosomal RNA (1200 nucleotides) under Microbacterium sp. RNAcentral's name for it is "bacterial SSU rRNA". It matches the Rfam family "Bacterial small subunit ribosomal RNA", at positions 84 to 1299 of the family's 1533-position model. The record is from RNAcentral. Lineage: Bacteria; Bacillati; Actinomycetota; Actinomycetes; Micrococcales; Microbacteriaceae.
UGGCUCAGUACGCACCGCCCGUGAGAGACACGUGAGCAAUCUGCCCUUGACUCUGGGAUAAGCGCUGGAAACGGCGUCUAAUACCGGAUACGAGCUGCGAAGGCAUCUUCAGCAGCUGGAAAGAACUUCGGUCAAGGAUGAGCUCGCGGCCUAUCAGCUUGUUGGUGAGGUAACGGCUCACCAAGGCGUCGACGGGUAGCCGGCCUGAGAGGGUGACCGGCCACACUGGGACUGAGACACGGCCCAGACUCCUACGGGAGGCAGCAGUGGGGAAUAUUGCACAAUGGGCGCAAGCCUGAUGCAGCAACGCCGCGUGAGGGACGACGGCCUUCGGGUUGUAAACCUCUUUUAGCAGGGAAGAAGCGAAAGUGACGGUACCUGCAGAAAAAGCACCGGCUAACUACGUGCCAGCAGCCGCGGUAAUACGUAGGGUGCAAGCGUUAUCCGGAAUUAUUGGGCGUAAAGAGCUCGUAGGCGGUUUGUCGCGUCUGCUGUGAAAACUGGAGGCUCAACCUCCAGCCUGCAGUGGGUACGGGCAGACUAGAGUGCGGUAGGGGAGAUUGGAAUUCCUGGUGUAGCGGUGGAAUGCGCAGAUAUCAGGAGGAACACCGAUGGCGAAGGCAGAUCUCUGGGCCGUAACUGACGCUGAGGAGCGAAAGGGUGGGGAGCAAACAGGCUUAGAUACCCUGGUAGUCCACCCCGUAAACGUUGGGAACUAGUUGUGGGGUCCAUUCCACGGAUUCCGUGACGCAGCUAACGCAUUAAGUUCCCCGCCUGGGGAGUACGGCCGCAAGGCUAAAACUCAAAGGAAUUGACGGGGACCCGCACAAGCGGCGGAGCAUGCGGAUUAAUUCGAUGCAACGCGAAGAACCUUACCAAGGCUUGACAUAUACGAGAACGGGCCAGAAAUGGUCAACUCUUUGGACACUCGUAAACAGGUGGUGCAUGGUUGUCGUCAGCUCGUGUCGUGAGAUGUUGGGUUAAGUCCCGCAACGAGCGCAACCCUCGUUCUAUGUUGCCAGCACGUAAUGGUGGGAACUCAUGGGAUACUGCCGGGGUCAACUCGGAGGAAGGUGGGGAUGACGUCAAAUCAUCAUGCCCCUUAUGUCUUGGGCUUCACGCAUGCUACAAUGGCCGGUACAAAGGGCUGCAAUACCGUAAGGUGGAGCGAAUCCCAAAAAGCCGGUCCCAGUUCAGAGU